AGCACUUUGUGUGCAUGUUUUUGUUCAACUGGUGGACAAAGGCAGGAAAGACGAAGUGCAAAAAUAAAUCCUCUUUUGCAACCCAGGACUCAUUGUUCAGUGUGAGUCUUGAUACAUACGAGCAGGAACAUG
RNAcentral lists this small nucleolar RNA (132 nucleotides) under Nannospalax galili (Upper Galilee mountains blind mole rat). Its description in RNAcentral is "Small nucleolar RNA SNORA40 (ENSNGAG00000003204.1)". It matches the Rfam family "Small nucleolar RNA SNORA40". From Rfam's summary of the family: The snoRNA ACA 40 belongs to the H/ACA family of snoRNAs and guides the pseudouridylation of 28S rRNA subunit at position U4565. NB This family has a high threshold value to exclude a large number of closely related sequences that do not appear to have conserved H and ACA boxes, and may be pseudogenes. The record is from RNAcentral. Lineage: Eukaryota; Metazoa; Chordata; Mammalia; Rodentia; Spalacidae.